GUUGAGCGCUGAGGUUGGUACUUGUACCGACUGGAUGAGCAGCGAACGGGUGAGUAACGCGUGGGGAAUCUGCCUUUGAGCGGGGGACAACAUUUGGAAACGAAUGCUAAUACCGCAUAAAAACUUUAAACACAAGUUUUAAGUUUGAAAGAUGCAAUUGCAUCACUCAAAGAUGAUCCCGCGUUGUAUUAGCUAGUUGGUGAGGUAAAGGCUCACCAAGGCGAUGAUACAUAGCCGACCUGAGAGGGUGAUCGGCCACAUUGGGACUGAGACACGGCCCAAACUCCUACGGGAGGCAGCAGUAGGGAAUCUUCGGCAAUGGACGAAAGUCUGACCGAGCAACGCCGCGUGAGUGAAGAAGGUUUUCGGAUCGUAAAACUCUGUUGGUAGAGAAGAACGUUGGUGAGAGUGGAAAGCUCAUCAAGUGACGGUAACUACCCAGAAAGGGACGGCUAACUACGUGCCAGCAGCCGCGGUAAUACGUAGGUCCCGAGCGUUGUCCGGAUUUAUUGGGCGUAAAGCGAGCGCAGGUGGUUUAUUAAGUCUGGUGUAAAAGGCAGUGGCUCAACCAUUGUAUGCAUUGGAAACUGGUAGACUUGAGUGCAGGAGAGGAGAGUGGAAUUCCAUGUGUAGCGGUGAAAUGCGUAGAUAUAUGGAGGAACACCGGUGGCGAAAGCGGCUCUCUGGCCUGUAACUGACACUGAGGCUCGAAAGCGUGGGGAGCAAACAGGAUUAGAUACCCUGGUAGUCCACGCCGUAAACGAUGAGUGCUAGAUGUAGGGAGCUAUAAGUUCUCUGUA
Molecule: ribosomal RNA, 800 nt
Filed under: Lactococcus lactis
Lineage: Bacteria; Bacillati; Bacillota; Bacilli; Lactobacillales; Streptococcaceae
Description: bacterial SSU rRNA
Rfam family: Bacterial small subunit ribosomal RNA
Source: RNAcentral